GACGAACGCUGGCGGCGUGCCUAAUACAUGCAAGUCGAACGCUUCUUUCCUCCCGAGUGCUUGCACUCAAUUGGAAAGAGGAGUGGCGGACGGGUGAGUAACACGUGGGUAACCUACCCAUCAGAGGGGGAUAACACUUGGAAACAGGUGCUAAUACCGCAUAACAGUUUAUGCCGCAUGGCAUAAGAGUGAAAGGCGCUUUCGGGUGUCGCUGAUGGAUGGACCCGCGGUGCAUUAGCUAGUUGGUGAGGUAACGGCUCACCAAGGCCACGAUGCAUAGCUGACCUGAGAGGGUGAUCGGCCACACUGGGACUGAGACACGGCCCAGACUCCUACGGGAGGCAGCAGUAGGGAAUCUUCGGCAAAGGACGAAAGUCUGACCGAGCAACGCCGCGUGAGUGAAGAAGGUUUUCGGAUCGUAAAACUCUGUUGUUAGAGAAGAACAAGGACGUUAGUAACUGAACGUCCCCUGACGGUAUCUAACCAGAAAGCCACGGCUAACUACGUG
Molecule: ribosomal RNA, 508 nt
Filed under: uncultured bacterium
Lineage: Bacteria
Description: partial 16S ribosomal RNA
Rfam family: Bacterial small subunit ribosomal RNA
Source: RNAcentral